RNAcentral lists this long non-coding RNA (688 nucleotides) under Gallus gallus (chicken). RNAcentral's name for it is "lncRNA (ENSGALG00010027532.1)". The record is from RNAcentral. Lineage: Eukaryota; Metazoa; Chordata; Aves; Galliformes; Phasianidae.
UCCUCGUCAGGAGGAGCGGCCGGGUGCCGGAAUCGUAGAACCUACUGCAGACUGCCAUGAGGUCUCCUCACAGCCUCCCCACGGCGGCUGAGCAGAUCCGCCCAUCCCGCUGUCCGACCCGCAGGCACUGCUGGACUUCUGCCUUGUGUUCUCAAUGCCGCGCCUGCUUUGGGCCCGUUGGAUCCAGAAAGAUGAGCCUCUCUGCACCCGGGAUGGGAAAACACACGUUAUGGUGCUGAGAUGUACGGGCAGCAGGUGAUCAGGCAGAAGGACGGCGACAGUAAUGCCCAGCUUCCCUCUCUGCAGUGACGCAGUGAGUCUGGAAACCCAACUCCCACAAAAUUGCCUUUGGUCCGUGGAAAUGUCUGAGAGCACUUUGGCUGUCUGAGGAACUCCCCGGGCAGCCUCAGUUGUUGUUUGCCAUGUGGGCAGCCUGGCCAUUUGAAUGAAGCCCAAGAAGGACAGGUGGGAUGGAAAGGCCGCGUGCAUUGUGUUCAUCCCCUGCUGCACAGCCACCGCUGGGCCCAUUUUGCACUCUCAUCAGUUCAGACAUGCAAAUAAAGGGUGUGUACCUUUCAUUUGUAUGCUGUAGUUUUAAAUAUGAGCCACACAUGAAAAUUGCAUGAAAAACAUCUUUUCAGGCUAGCAGCAAGCCCUUGGCGUGGAUUAAAGGCAGGGUCACCUUAGC